GACGAACGCUGGCGGCGUGCCUAAUACAUGCAAGUAGGACGAGUUGCGAACGGGUGAGUAACGCGUGGUAACCUACCUAUUAGAGGGGGAUAACUAUUGGAAACGAUAGCUAAUACCGGAUACUUAUAGAUGGAUCCGCGCUGCAUUAGCUAGUUGGUAAGGUAACGGCUUACCAAGGCAACGAUGCAUAGCCGACCUGAGAGGAUGACCAGCCACACUGGAACUGAGACACGGUCCAGACUCCUACGGGAGGCAGCAGUGGGGAAUAUUGCACAAUGGGCGCAAGCCUGAUGCAGCCAUGCCGCGUGUAUGAAGAAGGCCUUCGGGUUGUAAAGUACUUUCAGCGAGGAGGCGUUACUCGCAGAAGAAGCACCGGCUAACUCCGUGCCAGCAGCCGCGGUAAUUC
Molecule: ribosomal RNA, 406 nt
Filed under: uncultured bacterium
Lineage: Bacteria
Description: partial 16S ribosomal RNA
Rfam family: Bacterial small subunit ribosomal RNA
Source: RNAcentral